UAAAGAUUAAGCCAUGCAUGUCUAAGUACUUGCCAAACUAAGGCGAAACCGCGAAUGGCUCAUUAAAUCAGUUAUGGUUUACCUGACAGUUAAUUUACAUGGAUAACUGUGGUAAUUCUAGAGCUAAUACAUGCAGCAAGCCUUGACCCUUACGGGCAAGGCGCAGUUAUUAGAUCAAAAACCAAUCGGUUGUACUUUCGGGUAUAGCCGUUACUUUGGUGACUCUGAGUAACCACAGCGAACCGUAUGGCCUCGUGCUCGACGGUCUGUCAGUCAAGCAACUGCCUUAUCAGCUUGUUGUUAGAUUAUAUGCCUAACAAGGCUCAACGGGUAACGAACGAU
This 342-nucleotide ribosomal RNA is filed under the name Echiniscus sp. F9914. RNAcentral's name for it is "bacterial SSU rRNA". It matches the Rfam family "Eukaryotic small subunit ribosomal RNA", at positions 38 to 370 of the family's 1831-position model. Lineage: Eukaryota; Metazoa; Tardigrada; Heterotardigrada; Echiniscoidea; Echiniscidae. The record is from RNAcentral.